This is an RNA transcript of Gymnogyps californianus (California condor), 1351 nucleotides long. It is a transcript of the gene named melatonin receptor 1A, with no coding region annotated. The record is from RefSeq and is a predicted model, not a curated record. The transcript is spliced from 4 exons. NCBI's taxonomy places the organism in Eukaryota, Metazoa, Chordata, Aves, Accipitriformes, Cathartidae.
GGACCUGCUGGGCAACCUCCUGGUCAUCCUCUCCGUCUACCGCAACAAGAAGCUGAGGAACGCGGGUGAUCCUUGGACUUCUUUUUGUGCCCCGAAAGACAAUGGGUAGCCCGACAAAUAUUUGACUCAAGGGAGAUAACUUGUAGAAGAUCAAGUUGUAGCACAAAUUCAGGGUUCUGAUGAAAACUGAGAUGUUGAUGGCAAUGAACGUUGUUUCAGACAUGAAUAACUUCCAGUAUUAAAAAUGCUCUUCUCCUGAUUCCUUUUUCACUUGCCCAUUCAGCAUAUCCCACUACUGGGAAUCUCUGCAAUGCCUGGAAUUUGUUGUGCUUCUGUUCAUCAUACAUUUGCACUUUUUCUUUGGACAAUCCAUACCCACUGGGUAUUACGCUGAAGAUGGCAUGAAGAUGACCACUCCUGUAUUGAAGAAUAACUUUGCACUAUCCUUGUUAAAUUGUUUGCUGCUGAAGAUUUUUUUUUCUUUUUUCUUUUUUCCCUGCAUUUUUCCAUGGAGGGUAGAUCUGUCAGGUUUUGUCUGAAAGGCUCUUGUUUCAGAGUUGUUAUUGACUUGGGUCUCUCCCUUAUGGGAUCCAUUACACAUCCUGUGAAAGCUGUUUUUUAUGCACUCUGUAAUAAUAGAAUACUGAGAUGCUGCACUGUUCUUAGGGGCAUUACGAAUACUAGCAUUUUAAAAGAAGGUUGGGUGCUGCUUUUGCAAUCAUUCCUUUAAGAAUUUCUGGUGCAUACUUAGUGACAAUCUAGGGGAGAUUACACAGUUGUACCAAGCUUGCACAUGCACCUUGUUAAUACUGCUUGCAGCAAUCAUUAUCUAAAAUGUGCCCUAAAGAUGUGGCUGAAUCUGACAAACAUGUAAAUGCAGAAGUAUGAAUGGAAAAAAAAGAAGCAAAUAAGCUAAGUUGAAGCAACCUAGUGGACACAGAAUUUGCAGUCUGCUUGUUGUCGAUGCUUGUUUUGUACUGGGGUAUCCUAUUCGUCACAAUAGUGAUGCGUCCCUUCAUUGUAAGCUUUUCUAGUGGGUCUUCUCUUUUACUUUUCUCAAGCUAUUGGAGUGACAGGGCUUUGCUACCAGAAUGCUUACUGGAGUUCAGCUGCCUGAGCACAUCUUUCCUGUACGGAGAUAACUUCACAGACUACCACCAGAGCAGUGAAUUGAUAUCUUUUGCUUAUAUUCAGAUAUUCAUAUUAUCUCCUGUCCCCAUAUUUUCUCAGAAAACUCUCUUGAUCAGAUUCAAAUUUCACAGAGAUUUCACCUGUUUCUGCCUUUGGAAUUGCUGACCAUUCCUUGUGAUGACUGGACAGAAUGUUUGCUUACUUUACUCAAAAACAUGAA